GAUGAACGCUGGCGGCGUGCCUAAUACAUGCCAGUCGAGCGAACGGACGAGAAGCUUGCUUCUCUGAUGUUAGCGGCGGACGGGUGAGUAACACGUGGAUAACCUACCUAUAAGACUGGGAUAACUUCGGGAAACCGGAGCUAAUACCGGAUAAUAUUUUGAACCGCAUGGUUCAAAAGUGAAAGACGGUCUUGCUGUCACUUAUAGAUGGAUCCGCGCUGCAUUAGCUAGUUGGUAAGGUAACGGCUUACCAAGGCAACGAUGCAUAGCCGACCUGAGAGGGUGAUCGGCCACACUGGAACUGAGACACGGUCCAGACUCCUACGGGAGGCAGCAGUAGGGAAUCUUCCGCAAUGGGCGAAAGCCUGACGGAGCAACGCCGCGUGAGUGAUGAAGGUCUUCGGAUCGUAAAACUCUGUUAUUAGGGAAGAACAGAUGUAUAAGUAACUGUGCACAUCUUGACGGUACCUAAUCAGAAAGCCACGGCUAACUACGUG
Molecule: ribosomal RNA, 497 nt
Filed under: uncultured bacterium
Lineage: Bacteria
Description: partial 16S ribosomal RNA
Rfam family: Bacterial small subunit ribosomal RNA
Source: RNAcentral